CCGAGUGAGGGCCCUCUGGGUCCAACCUCCCACCCGUGUUUAUUAUACCUUGUUGCUUCGGCGGGCCCGCCGUAUGGCCGCCGGGGGGCUUCUGCCCCCGGGCCCGCGCCCGCCGAAGACAUCUCGAACUCUGUCUGAAGAUUGUAGUCUGAGUAAAAAUAUAAAUUAUUUA
This 172-nucleotide unclassified non-coding RNA is filed under the name uncultured fungus. RNAcentral describes it as "sequence contains ITS1, 5.8S rRNA gene". Lineage: Eukaryota; Fungi. RNAcentral also lists the same sequence under 1 other name. The record is from RNAcentral.